CAUCUUCAUAGCAAAUGGAACAAACUGCAAAUCAAGCAAUGUUCUUAGAAUCAUCAAAGCAUUUAAGUCACAGAGCAACCUGCAGCCCCCAAGCUUGAAGUGGCACCGGGAUAGGAAGAAUCAUACUUCAUGGAAAGAAGAAGCUGUUGCAGCCAGGGACCAUUAGAAGACUUCUACUGUAUUUCCGUCAUUACUGUUCUACAAUUGAUAAUUACUGGUGGCUGCGUGAGGGCCUAGGAUUACAGGCACCCACAUUUUGGUCCAACCAAGCCACCCCAUUGUACAGCAGGAGAUGAGCAGCAAAGGCUCCUCUGUAUUUACAGCCGCCCUUACCACCUGAGCUCCGCCUCCCGUCAGAUGAGCAGCCGCAGUAGAUUCUCAUAGGAAGUGAACCCUACUGCACCACGCAAGGGAUCUAAGGUAUAAUUCGUGUUUCUGAGAUUAAAGACCCACAUUAACUGUAAGUCAACAAACAAAACUGGCCUUAUUUACCCCCUGCACUCUAUAUCCACUGAUACUGUGGCAUAAAACACACUGUAUAGGACCGUUUAUUUGUCCUGUGGAGUGACUGUGAGCUUCUAAAAACCACCGUGUCAUCACGAACGUGUGA
Long non-coding RNA from Fukomys damarensis (Damara mole-rat), 610 nucleotides. RefSeq lists it as uncharacterized. The transcript has 3 exons. NCBI's taxonomy places the organism in Eukaryota, Metazoa, Chordata, Mammalia, Rodentia, Bathyergidae. The record is from RefSeq and is a predicted model, not a curated record.